This 301-nucleotide ribosomal RNA is filed under the name uncultured bacterium. RNAcentral describes it as "partial 16S ribosomal RNA". It matches the Rfam family "Bacterial small subunit ribosomal RNA", at positions 509 to 807 of the family's 1533-position model. The record is from RNAcentral.
CAGUCGCCGCGGUAAUACGAACCGUGCGAACGUUAUUCGGAAUCACUGGGCUUAAAGCGCGUGUAGGCGGGCCGCCACGUCGGCUGCUGAAAUCCCCCGGCUCAACCGGGUAACGGGCACCGAUACGAGCGGCCUCGAGGGGGGUAGGGGGGUCUGGAACUUCCGGUGGAGCGGUGAAAUGCGUUGAGAUCGGAAGGAACGCCCGUGGCGAAAGCGAGGCCCUGGACCCUUUCUGACGCUGAGACGCGAAAGCCAGGGGAGCGAACGGGAUUAGAUACCCCGGUAGUCCCUGUCUCUUAUU